This 345-nucleotide ribosomal RNA is filed under the name uncultured bacterium. RNAcentral's name for it is "bacterial SSU rRNA". It matches the Rfam family "Bacterial small subunit ribosomal RNA", at positions 8 to 350 of the family's 1533-position model. The record is from RNAcentral.
AGAGUUUGAUCAUGGCUCAGGAUGAACGCUAGCUACAGGCUUAACACAUGCAAGUCGAGGGGCAGCAUGUUGGUUGCUUGCAACCAAUGAUGGCGACCGGCGCACGGGUGAGUAACGCGUAUCCAACCUACCCUUGUCCAUCGGAUAACCCGUCGAAAGGCGGCCUAACACGAUAUGCGGUUCACAGCAGGCAUCUAAGGUGAACGAAAUGUGAAGGAGAAGGAUGGGGAUGCGUCUGAUUAGGCUUGUUGGCGGGGUAACGGCCACCAAGGCUACGAUCAGUAGGGGUUCUGAGAGGAAGGUCCCCCACAUUGGAACUGAGACACGGUCAACUCUACGGGAGCA